This 253-nucleotide ribosomal RNA is filed under the name uncultured bacterium. Its description in RNAcentral is "partial 16S ribosomal RNA". It matches the Rfam family "Bacterial small subunit ribosomal RNA", at positions 524 to 776 of the family's 1533-position model. The record is from RNAcentral.
UACGUAGGGUGCGAGCGUUAAUCGGAAUUACUGGGCGUAAAGCGUGCGCAGGCGGUUUCGCAAGUCAGAUGUGAAAGCCCCGGGCUCAACCUGGGAAUUGCAUUUGAAACUACGAGGCUAGAGUGUGUCAGAGGGGGGUAGAAUUCCACGUGUAGCAGUGAAAUGCGUAGAGAUGUGGAGGAAUACCGAUGGCGAAGGCAGCCCCCUGGGAUAACACUGACGCUCAUGCACGGAAGCGUGGGGAGCAAACAGG